Vigna unguiculata (cowpea) is the source of this 2791-nucleotide long non-coding RNA. RefSeq lists it as uncharacterized. NCBI's taxonomy places the organism in Eukaryota, Viridiplantae, Streptophyta, Magnoliopsida, Fabales, Fabaceae. The record is from RefSeq and is a predicted model, not a curated record.
CCCUCUUUUGCAUUUAUUUCUUAUAUUCCUACUCAUUUUCAUUUUCAAUGUUGGCAAAACCUAACAUUUUUUAAUCUUCCUCUUUUAGAACUCCGGAAAAAUAAUUUCACUCUACGAUGCUCACGACUCUUUGUAAUCAAUUCCACACUUUUUCGAUUGAGAAUCUUUGAAUUGCAACAUUCAAUUGGUGUAUUUGGAGGUUCUACGGUGUUUGUGUCGCGAGUUCACGACUGCUGCUCCAGUGAAGUUGUCGUGGUUCGAAGCUACUUCGAAUGUCCACAACGUGUUUCAUGUUCACACCUUUAAGUGUUCGCAGCUACUUCGUAGCUUCGUCGUUGCUUCGAAGGUACGCGACUACUUUAAUGAUUCACGAUUGCUUCAAUUUCACGGGUGUAGCUUUCCCUUCCAGAAUCACGGUUUAUCUCUGUUUUCUCUCCCUUGUAUAAUUGUAGUUUUGUUUUUGUAUUUGUGCUAACAUUGAUUUAUCUCUUCCAAAAUCAUUCACCAUUCUGUUUUUAUAUUUGUACUAACACUGAUUUUUAUCUGUUUUGAGGUUUGAUAAAGUUUUCAGUAACUUUGGAAUGGAGUACUGAUUGGUUCAAAGGUGUAAAACUAGAACCUCAGUUUUAGAUGGCGUUUUUGUUCAAUGCACCAUCCAAAAAUAUUUUACCAUAAGCGAAUCAAAAUGCCUUGUUGUUUCUCCCUAAGCCACCUUUCAAGUUUUCUCAACUAUGUCAAUCAUCAGUCUUUUUAUCUGUUCAGUUUGUUCUUAAGUGCUUUGAUAAAUUGCCAAGUCUCUUAGAAUAUCAUGUUGGAUGACAAAACGGUUAUUUUAGUACUAAUUGUCUUUGUCACUUGUAUUUUUCCAAAUAAAUUAGCAGAAGUUAGGUUCUCUCACAAGAAAAAUAAAUAAAUGCUCUCAAAUUAGUUCAUACCAAGAAAUGCAGAGUUACAUAAUGCAAGAGGUUUAAAGUCUCAAGUUAAUUGGUAACUUUGGAUAAUUGGUAAGGAAUCAACUUUUCUAUUCAUGAGCUAAGAAGCUAUUGAAAUAUUUGGUGUAUAAAGUAUAUAUAGGAUAAAUAUUAAUCUUAGUAUUAUAAUCCUAUAAAAAAUAUUAAGUUCUUUAGAGCAUUUCAUUCACUUUACAUCUAAAAUUUGUAUACUUUUCCAUUUGCCUUUGUAGACAUAUAUCAUUUGUUAUAACUUUCACAUUGCCAAUUGUAUACAGUUUCAGAAUGCUCUUAAUGGCGAUCCAAAAGAUUCACUAGAAAAUUUUAUUCUCUAUGUUCAUCUUUUGCUCCUGGAGUUAUGAAUCCUCACUCUAGAUUCAUACAACAUUGGAACAAGGUUCUUGCCGAUUUUUUUGCUUGGUUGCAAUUUUUGUGAAUCCAUUAUUUUCUUUUUACUUUAUGUUUGGCAGGUAGGAGUUAUAUAUUUGUUUUCCUUUUAUUCAGUCACACAAAUUUCAUAAGUUCUAAUGACAUAUCUUUCCCUACAAUAGUAAAAAUUAAAUUUUCAUUUCUUUGGUGUAGAAUCAUAAUUGUGUAGUAUGAACUCGAAAUUGACAAAAACACUUAUUAUAGUUAGAAGCAUGAAUGACUUCAUAUAUUUCCUUCACAUUAUUCUCCAGGUAACUUCCCAUAACCAUCUUUUUAGAAGUCCCAUUUCUUUAACUUUUUUCAUAUCUAGAUAUUCAUAGAAUAAAAGUUCUUAUUUGGGUCCCCUUCAUGCCACUGCUUCCAAAAUUUAUUUAUCAUUAUUCUUAUAAUUCUAAUAGAUUAUAAAUCCAAAAUUACUUUCCAUUUAUUAAUUAUUUAGUACUAAAAAAAUUAUAAACCCUUUCUCCUUCUCCCUUAUCACCACUUAUAGUUACCUUUUACAGUUCUGAAACAUGAGGUUUGAUCUAAAUGGUGUAGGUGUAGCUAAUUAUUAUAUAACUUAAUGAGUUGGCUAUUAUAUUGUUAUUUGUAUCAUUCCAACAGUUGAAAGUUAUUGUUAAUUGAUUUAUCAAUGUCUACUAGUGAUUGUGGUGGAUUAUUAUUCAUAAGUAUAUUUCAUUCACCAUUAUUUCAAAUGAAACCAAAGAUUCCCAACAAAGGUUUGCUAUUAGACACAAAUCAAAACACCCAAUGGAGUUUGGCUCAUGUAACAUGCGUUACUUUUUUUUCCUUUUCUUUCUUUUUAUUCACUCCUUCACUCAACAUAACAUUUUAAAGUUACUUGAAUUAAGUUUCAAAUUUAUAAACACAUGAAUUAAUUAACCUUUAAUUGAUCCUUCAAAUAAUAUCUAAUAAUAUAAUUUAACCCAUAAGUAGUGUAGUAAUCAACUUUAUAUAUCUAUUAUUGGGAGUUGUUGUUGAUCACUAUGGUAGAAGCAUGUAAUGUUUACAGGGAUUGUGAUGGUGAACGUAUAUAUGUCAAUGGAUUGGUGCUUUCUUUAAGUUAUUUGUUCAACUUCCUAUAAUUCUCAAUGCUUACUUGAUUUUAGUGUCAUUUUCAAUAUACUAUUUGGCCUUAGCACUAGUUUUUGGAUGGCUGUUACUACGAGAUUUCUUCUUGGAAGAUUAAAUGGUAUGCUUGGACCAGUGAAGGGUCGAAGAUUAUGCGAGUAAAGUUAAACUACGCGUGGCAGUGGAAGAAUUCAAAGUUGGCUUAUGUACAUCUUGCGCUCAAUGUUCAUCUUCAUCUUGACUUUAUCUAAAGUGCUAGUCAAGCUUGGUAGAAGACAAGAUGUGUACUUGAAUUUGCUAGUUUUUCUUAACUUAAUAUUAUACUUGAAUUUGAAUUUUAA